UUACUACUUCCUCCGUCCGGAAUUACUUGUCACAUAAAUGGAUGAAUAUGAAUGUAUCUAUAACUAAAAUACAUCUAGAUACAUACAUUUCUAUGACAAGUAUUUCUGGAUGGAGGGAGUACUUG
This is a non-coding RNA of Triticum aestivum (bread wheat), 125 nucleotides long. The record is from Rfam. NCBI's taxonomy places the organism in Eukaryota, Viridiplantae, Streptophyta, Magnoliopsida, Poales, Poaceae.